CGGGAAGUAGCUCAGCUUGGUAGAGCACUUGGUUUGGGACCAAGGGGUCGUAGGUUCGAAUCCUGUCUUCCCGAUAG
This 77-nucleotide transfer RNA is filed under the name Staphylococcus capitis SK14. Its description in RNAcentral is "tRNA-Pro". It matches the Rfam family "tRNA". Rfam says of the family: Transfer RNA (tRNA) molecules are approximately 80 nucleotides in length. Their secondary structure includes four short double-helical elements and three loops (D, anti-codon, and T loops). RNAcentral also lists the same sequence under 1 other name. Lineage: Bacteria; Bacillati; Bacillota; Bacilli; Caryophanales; Staphylococcaceae. The record is from RNAcentral.